Capsicum annuum is the source of this 2914-nucleotide long non-coding RNA. RefSeq lists it as uncharacterized. The transcript has 2 exons. The record is from RefSeq and is a predicted model, not a curated record. Lineage: Eukaryota; Viridiplantae; Streptophyta; Magnoliopsida; Solanales; Solanaceae.
UAAGAUGCGAGAAGUGAGGUUACGUUUAUUCGGGCACGUGAUUUUAUGGAUGAUUUUAGGCAGGGUAGAGGUAAACCGAAAAAAUAUUGAAGGGAGGUGAUUAGGCAUGAUAUGAAACAGUUACUGUUACAGUUGAUACCGGCCCAGAUUCACAAGUCAAGGCCCAACUGAUUUGUAAUUAGUUGUACAGUUAAUUUCUUUUUUUCUCAUGUGUAUUGGCCCGAUCCAAUGAGACCCACUUAUAUAUAAGGUUAGAUAUUUUUAUUGUAGAUGGACAAUCGACAUUUGAGAUAGAGAGAGAAAUAUAGCUGAUCAGUUUUUCUUCUUGUUCUCUAGAACAUUCUGGGGUUUUCGUAUUCAAAUCCCUUUGUAUUUUUGCAAAGACUUCAUAUUUUGACAUGGUAUCAGAGCAAACAUGGUAGAUCCAGUGCUUCUCUAAGUUUCUAUCGGCACAUUUUUGGUAUUUACAGUUCGUCAAAGUCCAUGGCAUUUCGAUAGUUUUCAUCGAAAAUCAGUGGUUUCACUGGAAUCAGUGCUUCAAUACUCUGGUAAAGUGGUUUCAUCCAUCUUCUCACUUGCUGAAAGGUCAUUCGUAUAGGUUUUAAUUUCAAUGAUGCGGUGACAUUUUUUUGGCAUAUUACGGUGUUAUCCCCUCAAUUCUCUACUCUUAUAUUGUAUUAGUGACUUGCUGUAGCUGAUUUUGAUUGAUUCAAUGGCUAUCGAUCUAGCUCAUCCAUCUACUUCGACUACUUUUAACCCUAGUAUCGAUAUUUCUCAUUCCUUGUACUUACAUCCCUCGGAUACUUCGGGGACUGUCCUUGUAUUUGUUCCUUUCGCUGGUAUCGGCUAUGGAGAAUGAAGGGAAGGGAUGAUGAUUUCGUUGUCUGCUAAAAAUAAAUUGCACCUCAUAAAUGGAACUUUUGAGAAACCCGCAGCUAACUCUCCACUUCUUCCUUAUUGGGAAUGUUGUAACAAUAUGUUGAAGGCUUGGAUAAUGAAUUCUCUCUCUAAAGAAAUAGCUAAGACUGUUCUUUAUUCUAAGACUAAUAAAGAAGCUUGGGAUAAUCUAGAGCAGAGAUAUGGUGUAGUCAAUGCAUCUCAGUACUACAGUCUUCAGCGUGCUAUAAAUUCCAUCUCCCAAAGCUCUCUUGACGUAGCUAGCUAUUUUACCAAACUCAAAGGACUUUGGGAUGAGUUAGGUACAUAUUCUUUUUGUAAACCAUAUGUCUGUGGAGCCUUAGUACAUAUUCUUUUUGAAAACCAUGUGUCUGUGGAGCCUUACAUGAAUUGAUCGAAGGACAACAACUCAUCCAAUUUCUUUCUGGACUGAAUGAUACAUAUUCCACCGUACGUAGAAAUAUUUUGAUGAUGAAUCCUGUCCCAUCCGUUGGACAAGCUUACGCUAUGUUAAUAAGAGAUGAGAAGCAGAGAGAAAUCAAGUCUGAUAUGACAAGUUUCUCUCCUGAUGCCACUUCAUUUCAUGUUACCUCACAAUUUAGACAAAAUCACUCAUACCCUGGUGUUGAAGUUGGUUUUGCCUCCCACUAUGCCCAACCUCCACAAAAUUCUACCAGACCUUCAACAAAUAAUUCGAGAAAUUUUUCUCAAAGGAUCAACUAUGAAUCCACUUACAAGAAAUCCUUGGUUUCUUGCAAGUAUUGCAAGAAACCUGGACAUACAGUGGAAUAAUGCUACAAACUUCAUGGUUUCCCAUCAGAUUUUAAAUUUUCUAAAUGUAAAAGAAUUGCUGCCUGUGUACAGCUAGAUCAAUCUUCAGAUUCUUCCACUGUUGCUCCAUCCACUCCUGCCAGUUCCUCUUAUGGUUUUCCCCCGAAUAAUAUGCUCACUUGUUGAGCUUAUUUCAACAAGUUCAGAUAUUUCCUCAACUUCAACCUUCCUCUUCUCAGUCAUCCUUCACAGGGAUUUCUUAUUAACCAACACAAGUACACUAAAGAAUUGAUUGAGGAGUUUCAUUAUUCUGAUUGCUCUCCUAUAGUUACUCCUUUGGAGCUUUACCCAAAACUCCUCCCUGAUUCUGGAACUUUACUUCCCGAUCCUACCAACUUUCAAAGGCUUGUUGGUAAGUUGAAUUUUUUGCAACACACCAGAUCGGACAUUUCAUUUACAGUUUAACAUUUAAGUCAGUUUCUCAAUGCUCCAAGGUCUACUCAUAUGCAAGCUGCUUUACAUGUUUUGAGAUAUUUGUCACAUGAUCCUGCUAAGGGUAUUCUCCUUUCUAGUUCUGCUGAUUUCACUCUUAAGGCAUAUUCUGAUUCUGAUUGGGCAGCUUGUUCUAUUUACCGUAAGUCUGUAUCUGGGUUCCUGAUUACCUUGGGUGAUAGUCCUGUUUGCUGGAAGUCCAAGAAGCAGCCUACUGUUUGCCUAUCUUCAGCUGAAGCUAAAUAUCGAGCUAUUCGAAAGACAGUUGCUGAAUUGACUUGGUUAGUUCGUCUUUUAUCUACCAGUUCCUCUUUUUUGUGAUAACCAAGCCGCGUUAAGCAUUGCUCGUAAUCCUGUUCUUCACGAUCAUACGAAGCACAUUGAGCUCGACUGCCAUUUUGUUCGUGAAAAGCUUGUUGUUGGUCUUAUUUCCUUACACUACAUUCCUACUAACUCACAACUGGCUGAUAUUCUCACUAAAUCCUUGAUCGGUGAAUCUCAUCAUCGUUUGCUGUCCAAGCUGGGCGUUCACUUACCCUCCGGCUCGCGGGGUGUUACAGUUGAUACAGGCCCAGAUUCACAAGUCAAGGCCCAACUGAUUUGUAAUUAGUUGUACAGUUAAUUUCUUUUUUUCUCAUGUGUAUUGGCCCAAUCCAAUAAGGUCCACCUAUAUAUAAGGCUAGAUAUUUUUAUUGUAGAUGGACAAUCGACAUUUGAGAUAGAGAGAGAAAUAUAGCUGAUCAGUUUUUCUUCU